RNAcentral lists this ribosomal RNA (253 nucleotides) under uncultured bacterium. RNAcentral's name for it is "partial 16S ribosomal RNA". It matches the Rfam family "Bacterial small subunit ribosomal RNA", at positions 524 to 776 of the family's 1533-position model. The record is from RNAcentral.
UACGGAGGGUGCGAGCGUUAUCCGGAUUCACUGGGUUUAAAGGGUGCGUAGGUGGGAAUGUAAGUCAGUGGUGAAAUCUCCGGGCUUAACCCGGAAACUGCCAUUGAUACUAUAUUUCUUGAAUUUUCUGGAGGUUAGCGGAAUAUGUCAUGUAGCGGUGAAAUGCUUAGAUAUGACAUAGAACACCAAUUGCGAAGGCAGCUAACUACAGGGAUAUUGACACUGAGGCACGAAAGCGUGGGGAUCAAACAGG